AACAUUCACUGCUGUCGGUGGGUUGUCCCAUUGCUGGGAAAGUUAACCCGCCGGCCCGUGAAUGCUAC
Molecule: microRNA precursor, 68 nt
Filed under: Eptatretus burgeri (inshore hagfish)
Lineage: Eukaryota; Metazoa; Chordata; Myxini; Myxiniformes; Myxinidae
Description: Ebu-Mir-181-P2f_pre stem-loop
Source: RNAcentral